GACGAACGCUGGCGGCGUGCUUAACACAUGCAAGUCGAACGGAAAGGCCCUGCUUUUGUGGGGUGCUCGAGUGGCGAACGGGUGAGUAACACGUGAGUAACCUGCCCUUGACUUUGGGAUAACUUCAGGAAACUGGGGCUAAUACCGGAUAGGAGCUCCUGCUGCAUGGUGGGGGUUGGAAAGUUUCGGCGGUUGGGGAUGGACUCGCGGCUUAUCAGCUUGUUGGUGGGGUAGUGGCUUACCAAGGCUUUGACGGGUAGCCGGCCUGAGAGGGUGGCCGGCCACAUGGGGACUGAGGGACGGCGCAGACUCCUACGGGAGGCAGCAGGGGGGAAUAUUGCACAAUGGGCGGAAGCCUGAUGCAGCAACGCCGCGGGCGGGAUGACGGCCUUCGGGUUGUAAACCGCUUUCGCCUGUGACGAAGCGUGAGUGACGGUAAUGGGUAAAGAAGCACCGGCUAACUACGUG
This 468-nucleotide ribosomal RNA is filed under the name uncultured bacterium. RNAcentral describes it as "partial 16S ribosomal RNA". It matches the Rfam family "Bacterial small subunit ribosomal RNA", at positions 28 to 507 of the family's 1533-position model. The record is from RNAcentral.